CUAAUACCGCAUAAGAUUACAGUACCGCAUGAUACAGUGAUCAAAGGAGCAAUCCGCUGAAAGAUGGGCUCGCGUCCGAUUAGAUAGUUGGUGAGGUAACGGCUCACCAAGUCGACGAUCGGUAGCCGGACUGAGAGGUUGAACGGCCACAUUGGGACUGAGACACGGCCCAGACUCCUACGGGAGGCAGCAGUGGGGAAUAUUGCACAAUGGGCGAAAGCCUGAUGCAGCAACGCCGCGUGAGGGAAGACGGUUUUCGGAUUGUAAACCUCUGUUUUCGGUGACGAAUAAAUGACGGUAACCGAGUAGGAAGCCACGGCUAACUACGUGCCAGCAGCCGCGGUAAUACGUAGGUGGCAAGCGUUAUCCGGAAUUACUGGGUGUAAAGGGAGCGCAGGCGGGAUAGCAAGUCAGUUGUGAAAACUAUGGGCUCAACCCAUAGAUUGCAGUUGAAACUGUUAUUCUUGAGUGGAGUAGAGGCAAGCGGAAUUCCGAGUGUAGCGGUGAAAUGCGUAGAUAUUCGGAGGAACACCAGUGGCGAAGGCGGCUUGCUGGGCUCUAACUGACGCUGAGGCUCGAAAGUGUGGGGAGCAAACAGGAUUAGAUACCCUGGUAGUCCACACUGUAAACGAUGAUAGCGAGGUGUGGGGGGUCUGACCCCCUCCGUGCCGG
Molecule: ribosomal RNA, 672 nt
Filed under: uncultured bacterium
Lineage: Bacteria
Description: bacterial SSU rRNA
Rfam family: Bacterial small subunit ribosomal RNA
Source: RNAcentral